Molecule: transfer RNA, 73 nt
Filed under: Archangium sp.
Lineage: Bacteria; Pseudomonadati; Myxococcota; Myxococcia; Myxococcales; Archangiaceae
Description: tRNA-Phe
Rfam family: tRNA
About the family: Transfer RNA (tRNA) molecules are approximately 80 nucleotides in length. Their secondary structure includes four short double-helical elements and three loops (D, anti-codon, and T loops).
Source: RNAcentral
GCUGCCUUAGCUCUGAGGGUCAGAGCGUCCGCCUGAAGAGCGGAAGAACUCGGUUCGAUCCCGAGAGUCGGCA